AAUAGAUACCCAGGUAGUCCACGCCGUAAACGAUGGAUACUAGCUGUUUGAGCGCAAGUUUGAGUGGCUAAGCGAAAGUGAUAAGUAUCCCACCUGGGGAGUACGGGCGCAAGCCUGAAACUCAAAGGAAUUGACGGGGGCCCGCACAAGCGGUGGAGCAUGUGGUUUAAUUCGAUGAUACGCGAGGAACCUUACCAGGGCUUAAAUGUAGAUUGACGUAUUUGGAAACAGAUAUUUCUUCGGACAAUUUACAAGGUGCUGCAUGGUUGUCGUCAGCUCGUGCCGUGAGGUGUCAGGUUAAGUCCUAUAACGAGCGCAACCCCUGUUGUUAGUUGCCAGCGAGUAAUGUCGGGAACUCUAGCAAGACUGCCAGUGUAAACUGUGAGGAAGGUGGGGAUGACGUCAAAUCAUCACGGCCCUUACAUCCUGGGCCACACACGUGCUACAAUGGCCGGUACAGAGAGCAGCCACUUAGCGAUAAGGAGCGAAUCUAUAAAGCCGGUCACAGUUCGGAUCGGAGU
RNAcentral lists this ribosomal RNA (521 nucleotides) under uncultured bacterium. RNAcentral describes it as "bacterial SSU rRNA". It matches the Rfam family "Bacterial small subunit ribosomal RNA", at positions 777 to 1304 of the family's 1533-position model. The record is from RNAcentral.